Molecule: ribosomal RNA, 253 nt
Filed under: uncultured bacterium
Lineage: Bacteria
Description: partial 16S ribosomal RNA
Rfam family: Bacterial small subunit ribosomal RNA
Source: RNAcentral
UACAGAGGUCUCAAGCGUUGUUCGGAAUCACUGGGCGUAAAGGGUGCGUAGGUGGUGGGGUAAGUCGGAUGUGAAAGCUCGGAGCUCAACUCCGAAAUGGCAUUGGAAACUACCCUGCUAGAGGAUUGGAGGGGGGACUGGAAUACUUGGUGUAGCAGUGAAAUGCGUAGAUAUCAAGUGGAACACCAGUGGCGAAGGCGAGUCCCUGGACAAUUCCUGACACUGAGGCACGAAAGCUAGGGGAGCAAACAGG